UCCCAAUCCCAUUCCUGCCCCACUCCAUGCCCUGCCCUCACCUCCAGCUGGUUUUCCCUCUCAGUUCCUCUCCUUUCGCGUUCCCGUGAUCCCGCUGGUCCCGAACAAUCCCAGCACUGAUCCGGAGCUCCGGGCUGUGCCAGCUGGCGGCAGCUCCCCCUUCCCAUCCCAUUCCAGGGCUCUUAAAGCCGCCCGGCCCCGAUCCCGGGGUUUGGGAUGUCCUGACGGAUCCCUGCGCUCUUAAAUCCGAGGGGACAGGGGAUGGGAGCGGAGCAUUCCCCAUUCCCGGUGCCAUUCUCCAGGAACAAUGGGCUCCUUUGCCCGUGGAAUUCCUGCUCUGGCCAGGAGGGAUCUGCCUGGCACUGGCCUUUAAAUGCAGGCGAUGGUCCCAGCGAUAUUCCCAGGAAGAGUGAGGGGAUGUGCCAGAGGUUUUUCCUGCCUUCCACACCAACCCAUGUGGGAAAGGAGCUUGGAGUGGAUUACACGGGAGUUUUCUUUGGGAAGAGAUCAUUUAAAGGAGCUUUAAAACCCACCGCGCUUUUGGACGGAAGUGGAAUUACCGGCAGCAUUCCCGAGGCAGGGAAUCGCUGCCCUCCUGCCAUUCCAACCUGCCUCCCACCUUUCCGUGCCCAGAUUUCCUCCCUGGCUGCUCUGGAGAAGGAUUUCCCAUCCUUCAGCAGGGUCACGCCGAGGGUAACGGCGUUCCAGCCUUUCCAGGAUGGAUGGGGCUGUUGGAGCAGAGCUUCCCCGCUGUUUAUCCUCUGGAUUCCUCUCCUCUGGAUUCAUCCCCUCUGCUCCCAGGCCAGGAGACAGCACGGAUAGAUUUUCUAAGAUCCUUUCUUUUCCAUAAAAAAUAUUGGAUGGCGGCAUUGACAGAGCUCCGGGUGUUAAAAGGACAAGGAAAUAUUUCCAAAUGGUUUCUCUGGCAGCUGGGAAUUUCAGCUCCUGUCGCUUAUUGACCUCUAAUUGUUUCCAGUAGGAGCGGGAGACAGGAAGAUCAAUAGGAAUUGGAGAGACUUAAAACCCUCCCGGUGCACUUCACUGUAGUUAGGAACCACUGGAAUUCAUCUUCCCGGGAUUUCCAGUGGUAAUUGGAACAUUGGGAUUGCUCCAUGUGCUGGAUUCCAUGCAGAGCGUUAAUUCCUUCCCCAGUCCCGCUCCUUGCCUGGUCCCAGGGCUCGGAGCAGCCUCGUGGUGCUCCAGCUGCCCUUCCCUGCUGUGUUAGAAAUCCAGGAGACCCAAAUUUGGGCGGAAUUCCAAAGGAGCAGGAGGAUUCUGGCAGGUGGAACUCCACAGGAAAGAAAGGAUGGAACAGUGGAGUGAUGAGAGUGCUGACACACCAGGAUA
Long non-coding RNA from Passer domesticus (house sparrow), 1347 nucleotides. RefSeq lists it as uncharacterized. The record is from RefSeq and is a predicted model, not a curated record. The transcript is spliced from 4 exons. Lineage: Eukaryota; Metazoa; Chordata; Aves; Passeriformes; Passeridae.